CUUAAAUUCAGUGGCCCUACACAUAGAUUUGGCUGUUCAUGGUGCUGUAUGGAGAGAGUUGCAGCCAGUUAGCAGAGGAGCUGACUAUCCAGCCUGGAUAUUUGUUGCUAAGUUCAUGGGGAUGGACGAGACAAUGGAGUCACUAAUGAAGCUGUAGGUCACUUUUGAGGGCUCCUCUGAUGGGUCUCCAUGGGGACAUGGACAAUGGUUGUGCUGGCACAGGAGAGAAUCAACAGAAGAAGGACAAGGACAAAUGUCUGCGUUCAAACUCAGUCACCCAAGAGGAGAUAAUGUGAUGAGCUCAAGAAGAGGUCCCUUGCACCCUCAGCAAGAACAGAGCUGGGAUGAUGUCCUUAUUCACCUUUUGUAUGUGAGGUACACAAAUAUACUCUGUACUUGCCAAGACGAACUAAGGUGUGAAGCACUGUGUGCAAUGGAUAAAACAUCCCAACCUACGAGCAGGAACCUUGUGGAUUGACUUUAGACCUAUUUUACAAUCACUAUAGUAAAUUUAGCAUCCUGGCCCCUAAACUCCUUUCCAAGGUGAGUUACCCCCAAGCUGGGUAUCUCACCUUGCUCACAUGCAACACCCAAGGCUCUCAGUGCAUAACACUUUCCAGCUGCUACAGCAAUACAAAUAGCCACUAAGAACAUCCAACCUCAUUAAUCACCUUCCCUCAGACUAAUUUUAUAAUUAGUAUGCAAGAGGCACACACCAACUUAAUGAAAUUAGCAGUAAUUAGUGGCCCUGACACACACGUAGAGCCAGUACAGGGACCAGCUGGAGUGUGGGGUGUGCAGGUCCUGUGGACCUCGUGCCCAUGGCUCAGCACCCAGCAACACCUUGGGGCAUUGAGGGUGCUGACUCUGAUCUCUCAUCCUGGAGAUCAGCUGGUGUGUUGACUCAGUGCCGAACAGCAGAACGAAGUACAUUUGUUAAAAUAUUGCAGUAUUGUAGAAGCCUGGGGACAAAUCCAACUUCUCAGAGAUGUGCGUGUGAGACAGUGUCGUCCCCCAAGGAAACCUUUGAACAAGAUCAAGGGCUCUCAAAAGAUGCAACACCUGGGUCAGGCAUCCCAAACCCUUCCCACCGACCUCAUGCAGCAGAAAUUAUCUCCUUCCACAGCCCAGACUCCCUGAGGUCCACUAUAAGCAUAAGUCCUGGGCAUUUAGGUUGCAAACAAUUGCCCACAUGAAACAAGAGCCUCCAUUGAGAAUUAAAGGUAAAGCUAAUAAUUUUGUCUUUGCUUUUCCUCACCAAACACCUCACAGAAUUGUGUGCUAAUUAAAACAACUGGAAAGUAAGAAAAAUGAGCUGAGUUACUGAAAAAUAAGGAGGAUUUCAGAUUGUAAGGAGGACUGCUGGCUGUUGUCUACAAU
RNAcentral lists this long non-coding RNA (1380 nucleotides) under Cyanistes caeruleus (blue tit). Its description in RNAcentral is "lncRNA (ENSCCEG00000003769.1)". The record is from RNAcentral. Lineage: Eukaryota; Metazoa; Chordata; Aves; Passeriformes; Paridae.